AGAGGGUCUGAAGUUAUCACAGUGAGUUAUCUCAGUUGAUCGUUCAUGGUCAGUUACAGAUCGAACUCCUUGUUCCACUCUUUCCCCACCCUUCUCACUACUGCACUUGACUAGCCAAAA
This 120-nucleotide non-coding RNA is filed under the name Homo sapiens (human). Lineage: Eukaryota; Metazoa; Chordata; Mammalia; Primates; Hominidae. The record is from RNAcentral.